RNAcentral lists this long non-coding RNA (2574 nucleotides) under Nicotiana tabacum (common tobacco). RNAcentral describes it as "long non-coding RNA (NTAB_LNC002641)". The record is from RNAcentral. Lineage: Eukaryota; Viridiplantae; Streptophyta; Magnoliopsida; Solanales; Solanaceae.
UUGUCUUCAAUUCUUGUUUCUUACUUUCUUCCUUUAUUAAGAGUAUUUUGUAUGAGAGUUAGUGUUGGGAAGCACUUGUGUGAACCCUUUCUUUGGAGUGAUCUUGUGAGGUUAUUCUCUUAGGGUAUUUGGGAUUAAUUAGAGUGUUUACUCUAAUUUUAUACUCUCUUUUGCACUCUUAUUGUUAUAGUGAAAUUGCCCCUCUCCGCUUGUGGACGUAGGUCACUUUGACCGAACCACGUUAAAUUUGUGUCUUCUUUAUCUACUUUAAUUGUCGUUGUUAUCAACUUCCAUUGUCUUUGUUAUUGUCAUUAUACCGUUGUUUGGCUAAAUUCCGCACUACCCGGGUUCCCGAUCCUAACAAAUUGGUAUCAGAGCCAGAUCUAACCGGGUUAGUUUCAAUAUCCAAAAUGACUCUAACAAAGACCUAUAUUGAGAAAUUUGACCGAAGGGAAUGUGGCAAUUAAAGAUGGAAGCUAUCCUAAUUCAGGAUGGCUUAGACUUGGCGUUGCAAGGAAACGAGAAGAAGCCGGAUAAAAUGACGGACGAGGAGUUUGCCAUCAUAGACAAAAAGGCAAAAGCAGGUAUCAUUUUAAAUCUCUCAAAUGAGGUUUUACGUGAAGUUUCUGUAGAAACCACAGCUAAAGGCAUGUGGGAAAAAUUGAAAACCUUAUAUAUGAAGAGGACGGUGGAAAAUAGACUUUACCUGAAGCAGAAGCUUUAUACAAUUCGUAUGGGUGAAGAUACCUCUAUUCUCUCUCAUCUUGACACAUUUGAUUCCAUUCUUAUGGAUUUGAGUAAUAUAGAUGCUGAAAUUAAAGAUGAAGAUCAAGCCGUGUUACUGCUUUGUUCUCUACCCGCACUGGACAGGCUGCCCUGUUCCGCAAAUGCGAGCGUUGUCUCACAAAUGCAUGUCCGCAGAUGCGAAAAUAAAUCCGCAAAUGCGAAAAAUGCUGGAUAGAGUGCUUAUUAACGGGAGUUAACUAUUUUUACCCAUUUUUGAGUUUUGAGUCUCGGAUUUAGGCGAUUCCAAAAGGAUUUUUUACGAUUUCGACUUGGGUAAGUAUUCUAUAUCCGAAAGUGAUUAUAUUUCAUAAAUCCAUGUCAAUAUUCAUCGUUUAUUUCGGAUUUAGAUGGAAGAAAUUGGGAUUUUUAUAAACUCUUCCAAAAAUAUAAAAUGAAGAUUUGAAAGCCAAUCCGAUGUCGGAAUUCGAUAAUUUUUGUAUGGAUGAACUCGUAUCGGAAUGGGUGUUUGAUUUUUGUGAGUUUUUUCGGGAUUCGAGAUGUGGGUCUCACUAUCGAUUUUUAAAAUAAAUUUUCGAUUUUAAUCUGGAAAAUAAGUAAAUUCAUAUGGAAUCAAUUUCUACGAUUUGUAUUGAGUAUAUUGAAUUGUUUAUGACUAGAUUUGAGGAUUUCGGACACGAAUUCACGAGGCAAAGGUUAAUUAGAAUCUUGAGUUGGUUGCAAAGCGAGGUAAGUAUUAUGAUUAACCUUGACUUGAGGGAGUAGAACUUAUUUGUCUAUUUGCUACGUGAUUUAAUGUGCGGGUACAAUAUAUAUGUGAGGUGACGAGUACUUAUGCGUUGUGGUUGAGUCAAAGCAUGCUGGAGGAAUUUAAUUUAUUUUGAAUAAUUAUUUAUUUAAUUAAGAUAUUCCUGCUUAAGUUUAUUAUUGAUUAGUUGAACAUUAUUUAUGGAUUUUUUAUUGAUUUAAUUAUUGUUGAAUAUGGUGAGAAAGAGCGUAAAAGCACGAAGGGUGAUAUCGUACCAUUUUUAUUAUUUAUACUAUCAUUGUCAUAGUGAGAAAAAGUGUAAAAGCACGAAGGGUGUUGCCGUGCCAUUUUUGAGUGUAAAAGCACGAAGGGUGAUACCGUAUCAUUUUCAGAGAGUGUAAAAUCACAAAGGGUGAUGUCGUGCCAAAAGAGAGUUAAAGCAUGAAGGGUGAUGUCAUGCCAAUUAUUAUUAUUAUUAUUAUUAUUUAUUUAUCAGUUUAUGGGAGGAAUAAGAGUAAAACCACGGAGGGUGGUGCCGUGCCAUUUUCAUAUUAUCAGUUGUUCAUUUUAUUGUUGAUGAAUUAAUUGGCUGCUAAGUGAUAACUUUUCCUGCUGAAAUUAUUACAUCACCCCCUUCUCAUGCUCCCUCCCAAAUUUAUAAAGUGUUAUUUAUUGUAUUAUUAUUGCUUCGUAUUUGUAUAUACUUGUACAAAUUAUUUAUGUAUGUGUCCUGUCAUAGCCUCGUCACUACUUCAUCGAGGUUAGGCUCGACACUUAUGGAGUAUAUGGGGUCAGUUGUACUCAUACUACACUAUGCACUUCUUGUGCAAAUUUUGGAGUUGGUUUCAACGGCGUACCAUAGACUUGCUGCUACCUAGAGGAGACUUGAGGUAUAACUGCACAUCGUCUACAAUUUUGAAGUCCCCUUCUAUCCUAUCUUAGCUGUGUAUUACCUUUCAAACAACUUGAAUUUUUUUCAGACCUUUAUUUGUAUCAUUCUAGUAGCUCGUGCACUUGUGACACCAGAUUCAGGGAUGUAUUUUGAUGAUUCGGUAGUUAUGGUCUUCUGCACUUUAUUUCAG